CCUACGGGGGGCAGCAGUGAGGAAUAUUGGUCAAUGGGCGCGAGCCUGAACCAGCCAAGUAGCGUGAAGGAUGACUGCCCUACGGGUUGUAAACUUCUUUUAUAAAGGAAUAAAGUGAGGCCCGUGUGCCUUUUUGUAUGUACUUUAUGAAUAAGGAUCGGCUAACUCCGUGCCAGCAGCCGCGGUAAUACGGAGGAUCCGAGCGUUAUCCGGAUUUAUUGUGUUUAAAGGGAGCGUAGGUGGAUUGUUAAGUCAGUUGUUAAAGUUUGCGGCUCAACCGUAAAAGUGCAGUUGAAACUGGCAGUCGUGAGUAGAGGAGAGGUGGGCGGAAUGCGUGGUGUAGCGGUGAAAUGCUUAGAUAUCACGAAGAACUCCGAUUGCGAAGGCAGCUCACUGGA
This 398-nucleotide ribosomal RNA is filed under the name uncultured bacterium. RNAcentral describes it as "partial 16S ribosomal RNA". It matches the Rfam family "Bacterial small subunit ribosomal RNA", at positions 338 to 733 of the family's 1533-position model. The record is from RNAcentral.